RNAcentral lists this small RNA (126 nucleotides) under Marmota monax (woodchuck). Lineage: Eukaryota; Metazoa; Chordata; Mammalia; Rodentia; Sciuridae. The record is from RNAcentral.
GCUGGUCACGUUGGCACAUGCCUGUAAUCCCAGAGUCUUGGGAGGCUGAGACAGGAGAAAUUGUGAGUUCAAAGUCAGCCUCAGCAACGGAGAGGUGCCAAGCAACUCAGUGAGACCCUGUCUCUA